GAGUUUGAUCGUGGCUCAGGAUGAACGCUGGCGGCGUGCCUAACACAUGCAAGUCGAACGAAGCACUUAUCUUUGAUUCUUUCGGGAUGAAGAGAUAUUUGACUGAGUGGCGGACGGGUGAGUAACGCGUGGGUAACCUGCCUCAUACAGGGGGAUAACAGUUAGAAAUGACUGCUAAUACCGCAUAAGCGCACGGAGACGCAUGUCUUUGUGUGAAAAGCCGAGACGGUAUGAGAUGGACCCGCGUCUGAUUAGGUAGUUGGUGAGGUAACGGCC
This 276-nucleotide ribosomal RNA is filed under the name uncultured bacterium. RNAcentral's name for it is "partial 16S ribosomal RNA". It matches the Rfam family "Bacterial small subunit ribosomal RNA", at positions 9 to 265 of the family's 1533-position model. The record is from RNAcentral.